CGGACGGGUGAGUAACGCGUGGGUAACCUGCCUCAUACAGGGGGAUAACAGUUAGAAAUGACUGCUAAUACCGCAUAAGACCACAGCACCGCAUGGUGCAGGGGUAAAAACUCCGGUGGUAUGAGAUGGACCCGCGUCUGAUUAGCUAGUUGGUAAGGUAACGGCUUACCAAGGCGACGAUCAGUAGCCGACCUGAGAGGACGACCAGCCACACUGGGACUGAGACACGGCCCAG
RNAcentral lists this ribosomal RNA (235 nucleotides) under uncultured bacterium. RNAcentral describes it as "partial 16S ribosomal RNA". It matches the Rfam family "Bacterial small subunit ribosomal RNA", at positions 99 to 334 of the family's 1533-position model. The record is from RNAcentral.